CCCAGGUGUGCCUGUGACCUUGUUUCCGAGGGACCUAAAAAGCUUCGCUUCAUAUUGACAUCCUCCCAGUGACAGAGGAGUACAGGAAAUGAUGCAGGUGCAAGGUGCUUACAGUCCAGAGGAAAGGGUGUGAAGCAAGAAUGAGAAAGCCUGAGGGAACCAUGCAGAUAUCCUAGCCAGAGCCUUCAGACCAAGACAAUCGAACAUCCCUGGAUAUCUGAGAUAGCCAGCCUUUCUUCUGGAGAGCUUCCCAGGUAACCAGCAUCCGAAACCCCAGCUGCUGUCUCCAUGGUGAUCAGGAUACCCCCUGUGAUGAAGUCUUGCUCUGUCGCCCAGACUAGAUUGCAGUGAUGUGUUCUCGGCUCACUGCAACCUCCGCUACCUGGGUUUAAGCGACUCUCCUGCCUCAGCUUCCAGAGUAGCUGGGACUACAGGUGAAAAUACACUCUUCAGGAGGAAUUAUUUUUUGUGGAGGAAAUGUCUCUCUUCCUAUGGAUGCCCAGCCUCUGCCCUUGUCUUCUGGACCCCACCUCCUUUCUACCACACAAGG
This 550-nucleotide long non-coding RNA is filed under the name Homo sapiens (human). RNAcentral describes it as "HSALNT0358174". The record is from RNAcentral. Lineage: Eukaryota; Metazoa; Chordata; Mammalia; Primates; Hominidae.